GGGUUGUUAGCUCAGUUGGUAGAGCAGCUGACUCUUAAUCAGCGGGUCGAGGGUUCAAGCCCCCACAGCCCA
This 72-nucleotide transfer RNA is filed under the name Brochothrix thermosphacta. RNAcentral's name for it is "tRNA-Lys". It matches the Rfam family "tRNA". From Rfam's summary of the family: Transfer RNA (tRNA) molecules are approximately 80 nucleotides in length. Their secondary structure includes four short double-helical elements and three loops (D, anti-codon, and T loops). Further hydrogen bonds mediate the characteristic L-shaped molecular structure. tRNAs have two regions of fundamental functional importance: the anti-codon, which is responsible for specific mRNA codon recognition, and the 3' end, to which the tRNAs corresponding amino acid is attached (by aminoacyl-tRNA synthetases). tRNAs cope with the degeneracy of the genetic code in two manners: having more than one tRNA (with a specific anti-codon) for a particular amino acid; and 'wobble' base-pairing, i.e. permitting non-standard base-pairing at the 3rd anti-codon position. Lineage: Bacteria; Bacillati; Bacillota; Bacilli; Caryophanales; Listeriaceae. The record is from RNAcentral.